This is a long non-coding RNA of Rhinopithecus roxellana (golden snub-nosed monkey), 624 nucleotides long. RefSeq lists it as uncharacterized. NCBI's taxonomy places the organism in Eukaryota, Metazoa, Chordata, Mammalia, Primates, Cercopithecidae. The record is from RefSeq and is a predicted model, not a curated record. The transcript is spliced from 3 exons.
GUUCAGCUGCAGCAACCACUGGAACCUGCCUACACCUAGUGUCUCCACUCAUGCGUGGGGCUAGAUGUUCCUCCCUCCUGUAGUGGUACAGCCAGAGUGGCAGAGGGGGCAAGUCACUGCUGCAGUUCCCACCUGGGUCUGAGUGGGGGUCAGCCUGGGUGCCCAUGUAUUUCCCAAUUACCUGGUUCCAUCUGGGGGCUUCAUGGACAGGAGUGGUGCUUUUCCAGGCCUCUUUUCCAUAUGCCAGCUACAGGCCCAGGUUUCCCAAGUUUCUGGAGCCCCUCUUCCAGCCUGGCAAGCGUGGUGUGUUGUAGGGGAAGGACAUCAAGCCUACAGGCAGCGGAACCUGUCUGGUUUUGCAGGACCUGGGUGAUCACCCAAGGAGUGAAAAUUGCCUUUUUAUGAGAAAUUGCCAAAAUUGAUGCAAGCUCAUCAGUUGAAAAGAUCAGCAGCAGACAAGAGCAGAGCUUUCAACUGGAAUUGUACAUAAGUGUAAUCAAGAUCCUGAAGCAUUUCUUCAAAUAAUUGUGUGAGGAAGUCAAACACAGGUGUUCCAAUGAAAUUUUCAAGACAAAACACAAUUAAAGCAAUGGCUACGAAGAGGUGAAAGUGGUCCAGUCUCAG